AGCGAACGCUGGCGGCAGGCCUAACACAUGCAAGUCGAACGAACCUUUCGGGGUUAGUGGCGGACGGGUGAGUAACACGUGGGAACGUGCCUUUAGGUUCGGAAUAACUCAGGGAAACUUGUGCUAAUACCGAAUGUGCCCUUCGGGGGAAAGAUUAAUCGCCUUUAGAGCGGCCCGCGUCUGAUUAGCUAGUUGGUUGAGGUAAUGGCUCACCAAGGCGACGAUCAGUGGCUGGUCUGAGAGGAUGAUCAGCCACAUUGGGACUGAGACACGGCCCAAACUCCUACGGGAGGCAGCAGUGGGGAAUCUUGCGCAAUGGGCGAAAGCCUGACGCAGCCAUGCCGCGUGAAUGAUGAAGGUCUUAGGAUUGUAAAAUUCUUUCACCGGGGACGAUAAUGACGGUACCCGGAGAAGAAGCCCCGGCUAACUUCGUG
This 434-nucleotide ribosomal RNA is filed under the name uncultured bacterium. Its description in RNAcentral is "partial 16S ribosomal RNA". It matches the Rfam family "Bacterial small subunit ribosomal RNA", at positions 29 to 507 of the family's 1533-position model. The record is from RNAcentral.